GGGGCCGUAAUGGUUUCGACAGGCUGGCGAAAGCUGUUCUGUGAUUCAGGUCGAGAGCGAGUCUCCUCUCGUAAAUCAAAGACUCAAACACAAAAGUAACUGCGAAAAACAACGCUGUAGCUUUCAAGCGCGUGGCAGUCACUGCCUAGAAAAACUUUAUUGAUUUAAAGUUCGCUUGCUUCUGGUUUGACUCCGUUAAGAACUAGAAGACUAACCCCAACGGAUGCGCUAGUAAACUGCUUCUGGUCGGCUUGCUAGCAAAGACUUUACCAGAGCAUCCCUGUCAUCCGGGAUAAUGGGUGAUUCCCGCCUUGAGGAUUAGAAAGGCUAAACCUGUGAACGAGUAGAGAGUCAAUACCCAGUUUGGACAGCAGUUCGACUCUGCUCGGCUCCAUUG
This 397-nucleotide transfer-messenger RNA is filed under the name Lusitaniella coriacea LEGE 07167. It matches the Rfam family "transfer-messenger RNA". Rfam says of the family: Bacterial tmRNA, also known as 10Sa RNA or SsrA, is named for its dual tRNA and mRNA-like properties. Its role is to liberate the mRNA from a stalled ribosome. Lineage: Bacteria; Bacillati; Cyanobacteriota; Cyanophyceae; Spirulinales; Lusitaniellaceae. RNAcentral also lists the same sequence under 2 other names. The record is from RNAcentral.